GACGAACGCUGGCGGCGUGCCUAAUACAUGCAAGUCGAGCGAACCGACGAGGUGCUUGCACCUUUGACGUUAGCGGCGAACGGGUGAGUAACACGUAAGGAAUCUACCUAUAAGUGGGGGAUAACAUCCGGAAACGGGUGCUAAUACCGCAUAAUAACCGACACCACAUGGUGUAAGUUUGAAAGAUGGCUCUGCUGUCACUUAUAGAUGACCUUGCGGUGCAUUAGCUAGUUGGUGGGGUAAUAGCCUACCAAGGCGACGAUUGGUAGCCGGUCUGAGAGGAUGAACGGCCACAUUGGGACUGAGACACGGCCCAG
RNAcentral lists this ribosomal RNA (317 nucleotides) under uncultured bacterium. RNAcentral's name for it is "bacterial SSU rRNA". It matches the Rfam family "Bacterial small subunit ribosomal RNA", at positions 28 to 334 of the family's 1533-position model. The record is from RNAcentral.